Onychostoma macrolepis is the source of this 1053-nucleotide non-coding RNA. The record is from the annotation of a RefSeq genome assembly. Lineage: Eukaryota; Metazoa; Chordata; Actinopteri; Cypriniformes; Cyprinidae.
AUCCAUGGAUUUGAUAUAAAAUUUAGGAAUUAACAGUGACAUUUGGAUCCAAAUACAGUAAAUAAUAUUAUCAAAGUCUAAUAUGAGAGAAUCAGGUUAAUAUACUAAAGCUGAUCUUGUAGAUUUUUUUCAGAAGUGAAUGAUCUGAUAUAAUUUAUAACAGUUUAGCUAAGAUAUAUUUAAAAAUAAAUAAAUAAAUAAAAACAAUUCUAAUUUCAGUAAUUGUAUUUGCAACGGUCUUCAGGUAAAUGAUCUGGAGUGUGUUUGCAUAUUGAUCAGAUGCUUCAGUGCUCUGAGAGUGUUUAUAGUGCUGUGAGUUUAACACUUCAUCACUGACACACACAACAAUCUUCAUCAACAUGACCUUCAUCAUCAUCUUCAUCUGGACUCUCACAGCGUUUGCUCAAGAGUGUAGAGGACAGAUCACCGUCACUCAGAGUCCCUCAACGACAGCAGCUCGACCAGAAGAAACAGUCAAAAUCAACUGUAAAACCAGCACAGAUGUGGCUGAAUAUAGUGCACCACGUUACUAUUUAAGCUGGUACUUACAGAAACCUGGAGAAGCUCCUAAACUCCUGAUAUAUUGGACAAUAGACCGUUACACUGGAACUCCAUCUAGAUUCAGUGGCAGUGGAUCUAACAGUGAUUUCACUCUGACCAUCAGUGGAGUCCAGACUGAAGAUGCUGGACAUUAUUACUGUCAGAGUUUCCACAGCAGUGGUGGUUAUGUGUUCACACAGUGAUAAAGAGUCGUACAAAAACCUCCGUCAGUCAGAGUCACAGAGACUGAACUGAUCCUGCAGCUGCUCAAACACUAUCACUCACUACUGACACACAGAGACAAACACAGCAACUACACAUGAGCUCAGAACUGAGUUAGGAGUCAAAUCAGCUCCAUUAGACUGAGAUCUGUCCUGUGACAGACGGGUUUGACUCAACUAUGCUCUGAUUUUGAGCAAAAAACACACAACAAUUUUCUCGGUUCCAGUGUUGUAAUUUUUUAUUUUAUUUUUUUGUAGAUUUUACUACAAUCAUAAUGUAUCCCUGAUUAAA